This 468-nucleotide ribosomal RNA is filed under the name uncultured bacterium. RNAcentral describes it as "partial 16S ribosomal RNA". It matches the Rfam family "Bacterial small subunit ribosomal RNA", at positions 28 to 507 of the family's 1533-position model. The record is from RNAcentral.
GACGAACGCUGGCGGCGUGCUUAACACAUGCAAGUCGAACGGAAAGGCCCUGCUCUUGUGGGGUGCUCGAGUGGCGAACGGGUGAGUAACACGUGAGUAACCUGCCCUUGACUUUGGGAUAACUUCAGGAAACUGGGGCUAAUACCGGAUAGGAGCUCCUGCUGCAUGGUGGGGGUUGGAAAGUGUCGGCGGUUGGGGCUGGACUCGCGGGUUAUCAGCUGGUUGGUGGGGUAGUGGCUUACCAAGGGUUUGACGGGUAGCCGGCCUGAGAGGGUGACCGGCCACCUUGGGACUGAGAUACGGCCCAGACUCCUACGGGAGGCAGCAGUGGGGAAUAUUGCACAAUGGGCGGAAGCCUGAUGCAGCAACGCCGCGUGCGGGAUGACGGCCUUCGGGUUGUAAACCGCUUUCGCCUGUGACGAAGCGUGAGUGACGGUAAUGGGUAAAGAAGCACCGGCUAACUACGUG